This 86-nucleotide non-coding RNA is filed under the name unclassified sequences. RNAcentral describes it as "S15-Halobacteria ribosomal protein leader". It matches the Rfam family "S15-Halobacteria ribosomal protein leader". The record is from RNAcentral.
CUGGGAAGCGCACGGCCGCAAAUCUGACCCGUCGUCCAGACGGCGACCCCUGUCGCCGUCUGGACGACUCGAGAUUGCGGAAGUGC